This 77-nucleotide long non-coding RNA is filed under the name Monodelphis domestica (gray short-tailed opossum). RNAcentral describes it as "lncRNA (ENSMODG00000046980.1)". Lineage: Eukaryota; Metazoa; Chordata; Mammalia; Didelphimorphia; Didelphidae. The record is from RNAcentral.
GAGCAUUCCCAGGGUUUGACACUGAAUGCCUGCCUCAAGUUCCUGUAGCAUCUCCAGAAUCAUUUUAAUUGUUUGGC